Non-coding RNA from Marinomonas mediterranea MMB-1, 86 nucleotides. The record is from Rfam. Lineage: Bacteria; Pseudomonadati; Pseudomonadota; Gammaproteobacteria; Oceanospirillales; Oceanospirillaceae.
UGUUAUGGUGGGUCUAUUUUGGGCUAGCUUCGGCUAGGCCGUUCCUACGGGCGGUAGUACUAACCUGAUUUAGAUCCACCACCUUA